Molecule: long non-coding RNA, 594 nt
Filed under: Monodelphis domestica (gray short-tailed opossum)
Lineage: Eukaryota; Metazoa; Chordata; Mammalia; Didelphimorphia; Didelphidae
Description: lncRNA (ENSMODG00000044844.1)
Source: RNAcentral
CUCCCCCACUCAACACACACACCUAGGUCCUCAGCCCCUCUAACCCAAGUCCUGCCAUUACACAAGAACAGGGUUCUGAGCGAUGUAGGAUCUGUUUUGAAAUCUCCAAUGUGAGGGUUUCCCCCCCCCCCUCUUUUUUUUCACUCCAAAGCACUAUCUGUGGCGAUCAGACUAGAGCAGGGUUGCCAGCAAAUGCUGGAGGCCCCUUCUAGGGUACAGGCUUUCAAACCAGCAAAGCUGGAGGGAAUGGAUUUAAGGACACACAGCAGGAGCUGACUGAAUUUAUUUUAUUUUGACGGGGGUAGCCGGGGAAGAAUAUCACUGCUGAACUAUCCAAGGAUUUCUUAAACAGUUCUUUCAGGAUGAGUGAUGUCUUGUUUUGCAGAGGUGGAGAGAGAUACACAGAUGAUGGGUUCAAAGUCAUCCCUUUCAGAAGACCGUUUUUUAUGUUUCACCAUGAAAAAUUUCGAAGAGUCAGAAGUUUUGGAAGUCAAUGAAAUUGCCAUAGUCACCCCAGUCUUCAACAACUACCACCCUGAGCAGUCAGCAGCCGCCAACAUGGAGACAAGACUCUGCCAGCAAAAAGACUAGGAC